Molecule: ribosomal RNA, 573 nt
Filed under: Acanthamoeba sp.
Lineage: Eukaryota; Discosea; Longamoebia; Acanthamoebidae
Description: partial 18S ribosomal RNA
Rfam family: Eukaryotic small subunit ribosomal RNA
Source: RNAcentral
AGUGGCAUAAGCCUCCAGGCAAGGUARUCACCUGUCACAAUUUGGGGAGGGUAGUAYGACUCCCYYCCCWUKUUGUGAAGUGGCAAAUAUUUUUUYCYGUAAAAAAWCCCCCCAGCACCUGGUGRGGUUGCCCAGAUCUUUUUCCGUGAAAAUGACUCCCCCAGCAGCUUGKRAGAUGGCCCAGAUCGUUUACCGUGAAAAAAUUAGAGUGUUCAAAGCGGGCAGAUACUUUUUCCUGCCACCGAAUACAUUAGCAUGGGAUAAUGGAAUAGGACCCUGACCUCCUAUUUUCAGUUGGUUUUGUACUUACAGCGAGGUUCAUAUCAGGGUAAUGAUUAAUAGGGAUAGUUGGGGGCAUUAAUAUUUAAUUGUCAGAGGUGAAAUUCUUGGAUUUAUGAAAGAUUAACUUCUGSGAAAGCGUUUGCCAAGGAUGUUUUCAUUAAUCAAGAACGAAAGUUAGGGGAUCGAAGWYGAUCAGAUACCGUYGUCCCUUAACCYUYAACGAUGCCCCCCAKCKUUUAGGAGARAAUGACUCCCCUASCACCKUUGAGAUGKCCCAGAGAGUAACCUAGA